Molecule: ribosomal RNA, 628 nt
Filed under: uncultured fungus
Lineage: Eukaryota; Fungi
Description: bacterial SSU rRNA
Rfam family: Eukaryotic small subunit ribosomal RNA
Source: RNAcentral
GGGGGGGUUAAGAAUUUUGAGUAUUCCGCUUUCACCUCUCCCUUGUGCGAGAGGCGCGGUAAAUCAACUCCAUAGGGGAUAUUGAAGUUGUUGCAAUUAAAAAGCCCGGAAAUUGAACCUUGGGCCUGGCUGGCCGGUCCGCCUCACCGCGUGUACUGGUCCGGCCGGGCCUCUCCAUCUGGGUGCCGCAGGCCCUUCACUGGGCGUGCCGGGAAACCAGGACUUUUACUUAAAAAAAAUGACAGUGUUCAUCCACGCCUUUGCUCAACUAAUUUAGCAUGGAAUAAUAGAAUAGGACGUGCGGUUCUAUUUUGUUGGUAUCUAAGACCGCCGCAGGAUUAAUAGGUAUAGUCCGGGGCAGCAGUAUUCAAUUGUCAAAGGUGAAAUUCUUGGAUUUAUUAAAAACUGAUACUGCGAAUGAAUUGCCAGGAUGUUUUCAUUAAUCAGUGAACGAAGUUGAGGGAACCAAGACGAUCACAGACCGUCCUAGUGUUGAGCAUCAACUAUGCCGACUAAGUGUCGGUGGAAGUUACUAUCCUUGACUCCACGGGCACCUUACAAGAAAUGAGAGUUUUGGGGUUCAGGGGAAAUAUGGUCGCACGCGGAAGCUUAGGGAAUUGACGGACGG